RNAcentral lists this ribosomal RNA (658 nucleotides) under Symbiodinium sp. cp-i3. RNAcentral's name for it is "partial 23S ribosomal RNA". It matches the Rfam family "Bacterial large subunit ribosomal RNA", at positions 1914 to 2622 of the family's 2925-position model. Lineage: Eukaryota; Dinophyceae; Suessiales; Symbiodiniaceae. The record is from RNAcentral.
CACGACGUUGUAAAACGACGGCUGUAACUAUAACGGUCCUAAGGUAGCAAAUUUCCUUGUCGUCUAAAUAACGACCUGCAUGAAACAUAGAACGAUUCAAUAACUGUCUUGUGCACAUGUCAUGGUAAAAUAUUCAUCAGCUCAAAUGAUAUGCUGUAGAAGUAUUGAAUUAUCCAAAGGACAAAAAGACCCUUUGAAGCUUUAUAAAGAUAGAACUUGUGUAAAGGUGGUGAUUAAACAUUCCUGAAUGCAAUCUGAUUGCAUUUAUAAAUAGCUGAAGCUCUUAUCUGAACCUAUAUUAUGUUAGUCCGAUGUUUAAUUGGGGCGAUAGCCUUAUCCAUAACCAACUAAGGUGAACAAAGUGUUACAAGGAUCCUAAAAUAUUAAAUGACCAACUGAUAAGUUUAAAGAUACAUGUUUUGCUUAAUGGCUCAAUAAUCCCUACCCAGUACUUAAAUGUCAUCUUCAUGAGCUUAAGAUUAAUAUAACAGAUUGAAGCUACUCUACGGAUAACAGGAUAGGUAUUUCAUGUUUAGAGCUAUAAUUGGAAAUAAAUUUGCCUCGAUGUCGGCUUGUCUAGAAUCUUAUGCUAUACGUAGUGUCCAGAUAGGAGUGCUCAUCCUUUAAUCAGAUACGUGAGCUGGGUUCAAUACGAUGG